GACGGGUGAGUACGCGUAGGUAAUCUACCCUUAUAACUGGGAUAACAUUGGGAAACUGGUGCUAAUACCGGAUACACUUCUUUACUGCCGGGUAAAGGAGGAAAGGUGGCCUCUUCAUGAAAGCUACCGUAUAGGGAUGAGCCUGCGUACCAUUAGCUAGUAGGCGGGGUAACGGCCCACCUAGGCAACGAUGGUUAGCGGGUCUGAGAGGAUGAUCCGCCACACUGGAACUGGAACACGGACCAG
Molecule: ribosomal RNA, 246 nt
Filed under: uncultured bacterium
Lineage: Bacteria
Description: partial 16S ribosomal RNA
Rfam family: Bacterial small subunit ribosomal RNA
Source: RNAcentral